Molecule: long non-coding RNA, 286 nt
Filed under: Olea europaea (common olive)
Lineage: Eukaryota; Viridiplantae; Streptophyta; Magnoliopsida; Lamiales; Oleaceae
Description: long non-coding RNA (OEUR_LNC007988)
Source: RNAcentral
AAAUUUAGCAACAAGAUUACAAACAGUUCGAAAACAACUGAAUAAGGACGCAAAGACUCAUCUUUACAUAGGAACCCUAAUCGAUCAACAACCUCUUGCUAAGAAUUACACCAGAAUACUUAGUUCUAUAUCAACCUCCAUAAAACAAUCGAAUCACACAGAUUCGCUACAAUUUUCACUAAUAAAUACACCACAUAUCUAGAUCUAAAGUAUCACACAGAGAUUAAAACGUCUAACCACUUAGAUCGCUCUAAUAUUUGAAACCCUAAUGGGAAAGGGGUUUUCU